This 468-nucleotide ribosomal RNA is filed under the name uncultured bacterium. RNAcentral's name for it is "partial 16S ribosomal RNA". The stretch from base 20 to 332 matches the Rfam family "Bacterial small subunit ribosomal RNA", at positions 47 to 358 of the family's 1533-position model. The record is from RNAcentral.
GACGAACGCUGGCGGCGUGCUUAACACAUGCAAGUCGAACGGAAAGGCCCUGCUUUUGUGGGGUGCUCGAGUGGCGAACGGGUGAGUAACACGUGAGUAACCUGCCCUUGACUUUGGGAUAACUUCAGGAAACUGGGGCUAAUACCGGAUAGGAGCUCCUGCUGCAUGGUGGGGGUUGGAAAGUUUCGGCGGUUGGGGAUGGACUCGCGGCUUAUCAGCUUGUUGGUGGGGUAGUGGCUUACCAAGGCUUUGACGGGUAGCCGGCCUGAGAGGGUGACCGGGCACAAUGGGGCUGAGGUACGGCCCAGAACUCUUAGGGGGGCAAGAGGGGGGGAUAAUGGAACAAGGGGGGGAGGCUGAAGGAGGAACGGCGGGGGGGGGAAGAAGGGCUUUGGGGUUGUAACCCGUUUUGCCUGGGGCGGAGGGGGGGUGAAGGGAAUGGGUAAAGGAGGAACGGGUUAAUAACUG